This is a long non-coding RNA of Oncorhynchus nerka (sockeye salmon), 6181 nucleotides long. RefSeq lists it as uncharacterized. The record is from RefSeq and is a predicted model, not a curated record. Lineage: Eukaryota; Metazoa; Chordata; Actinopteri; Salmoniformes; Salmonidae. The transcript has 2 exons.
UAUGCGCUACACAAGGAAUUACUAUGCGCUACACAAGGAAUUACUAUGCGCUACACAAGGAAUUACUAUGCGCUACACAAGGAAUUACUAUGCACUACACAAGGAAUUACUAUGCACUACACAAGGAAUUACUAUGCACUACACAAGGAAUUACUAUGCACUACACAAGCUUACUUUGACAAACUGGCGAAACGCCUGACCUGUUAUUGUUACAUUUUGCUGUGUGCGCAUCGAGAGGUUGAGAGGCAUUGUUAAGAUGUCAUCCAUUAGAAUGUCCCACUCCCUUGCCAUUGUGUCUGCAGCGUGGGAUUGACGUCACUAAGCUCAUCUCCCGAAAGUAGAAAGCGUAGGCCGAGAGAUUGAGGAAGGAAAUGAAAGAGGCCAGGAAAGCAAACGACAACAAAAAAGGAAAAAGAAGAACGCACAGGAACCGGAGGAGGAGUGACACUGAAAAGAUAGGGAGAAUACUAGUCUGUUUGUGUAGCUCCAGUGUAAUCCACUAAUAGGGUCUAUGGUCAGGAUUGGUCAGGAUAGUAUUGGAUUAAUAUGCAGGUAAUGUGAUGAGUGUCUUAUGAAUGAUCCUUCCAUGUGUUCUCCUGUCCAGGAGGGGGAGCCAGACAGUUCAGAGAAGGAUGUGGAGAAUGAUCAAAUCAUGUCAAAUCUAAUGUUAUUUGUCACAUGUUUAGAAGAUGUUAUUGCGGGUGUAAGCGAAAUGCUUGUGAUGCAAUGUGAGGUGCUGUCUGCCUGUUGUCAUAGCAGUAAGCAGGCAGAACAGGUUGAGUAAGAUUACCUCUCUCUAUCUCUCUUUUUUCUCUAAUACAUUCGCUCAGUUAAAUUCAAUGAUGCUUUACUGCUAUGACUGCAAAAAUGCAAUGUUCUCAAAACGAGACACAUAAUUCCAUUUUUUGUUUGUUUGAUGGAGCAGUCUCCCUCGCUCUGACCCCGACAUUUGACCUCUCUCCGGUGCUGUUUCAGAGCCAAAGGGACUACGGCGAUAUCGGUGUGGAGGUGGUGGAUGUCAGACUGGUGUUAUUGAGAAACUGGAAAGAUGAGGAUUCGUCAGUGAGAAAGUCACUAAAGUGUGUCUCUUCUCCUCAAUCCACAAAUGCUGUGCUUUACUGUCAGACAGACAGGGCCCAGAUGGACAGUGAUGACGAGGUGAAACACACACGAGCACGACACGUGCACACACACUGAUGCACACACACUGAUGCCCCCAUUCUCAUCGACGGGGCUGCAGUGGAGCAGGUUGAGAGCUUCAAGUUCCUUGGUGUCCACAUCACCAACAAAGUAGAAUGGUCAAAGCACACCAAGACAGUCGUGAAGAGGGCACGACAAAGCCUAUUCCCCCUCAGGAGACUGAAAAGAUUUGGCAUGGGAUCCUCAAAAGGAUCUACAGCUGCACCAUCGAGAGCAUCGUGACUGGCUGCAUCACUGCCUGGUAUGGCAACUGCUCGUCCUUCGACCGCAAGGCAGGUAGUGGGUGGUGACAGAGGGUAGUGCGAACGGUCCAGUACAUCACUGGGGCCAAGCUUCCUGCCAUCCAGGACCUCUAUACCAGGUGGUGUCAGAGGAAGGCCCUACAAAUUGUCAAAGACUCCAGCCACCCAAGUCAUAGACUGUUCUCUCUGCUACCGCGCGGCAAGCGGUACCGGAGCGCCAAGUUUAGGUCCAAGAGGCUUCUAAACAGCUUCUACCCCCAAGCCUUAUGACUCCUGAAUACCUAAUCAAAUGGCUACACAGACUAUUUACAUUGCCCACCACUCCCCCUCUUUUACACCGCUGCUACUCUCUGUUGUUAUCAUCUACGCAAAGUCACUUCAAUAACUCUACCUUCAUGUACAUAUUACCUCAACUAACCGGUGCCCCCGCAUGCAUAUUGACUCUGUACCGGUAUCCCUCUGUAUAUAGUCUCCACAUUGACUCUGUACCGGUAUCCCUCUGUAUAUAGUCUCCACAUUGACUCUGUACCGGUAUCCCUCUGUAUAUAGUCUCCACAUUGACUCUGUACCGGUAUCCCUCUGUAUAUAGUCUCCACAUUGACUCUGUACCGGUAUCCCUCUGUAUAUAGUCUCCACACUGACUCUGUACCGGUAUCCCCCUGUAUAUAGUCUCCACAUGGACUCUGUACCGGUAUCCCCCUGUAUAUAGUCUCCACAUUGACUCUGUACCGGUAUCCCUCUGUAUAUAGUCUCCACACUGACUCUGUACCGGUAUCCCCCUGUAUAUAGUCUCCACAUUGACUCUGUACCGGUAUCCCCCUGUAUAUAGUCUCCACAUGGACUCUGUACCGGUAUCCCUCUGUAUAUAGUCUCCACAUGAACUCUGUACCGGUAUCCCUCUGUAUAUAGUCUCCACAUGGACUCUGUACCGGUAUCCCUCUGUAUAUAGUCUCCACAUUGACUCUGUACCGGUAUCCCUCUGUAUAUAGUCUCCACAUGGACUCUGUACCGGUAUCCCCCUGUAUAUAGUCUCCACAUCGACUCUGUACCGGUAUCCCUCUGUAUAUAGUCUCCACAUUGACUCUGUACCGGUAUCCCUCUGUAUAUAGUCUCCACAUUGACUCUGUACCGGUAUCCCUCUGUAUAUAGUCUCCACAUUGACUCUGUACCGGUAUCCCUCUGUAUAUAGUCUCCACAUUGACUCUGUACCGGUAUCCCUCUGUAUAUAGUCUCCACAUUGACUCUGUACCGGUAUCCCUCUGUAUAUAGUCUCCACAUGGACUCUGUACCGGUAUCCCUCUGUAUAUAGUCUCCACAUUGACUCUGUACCGGUAUCCCUCUGUAUAUAGUCUCCACAUGGACUCUGUACCGGUAUCCCUCUGUAUAUAGUCUCGCUAUUGUUAAUCUACCGCUGCUCUUUAAUUACUUGUUACUUUUAUUUCUUAUUCUUAUCUGUAUUUUGUAAACUGCAUUGUUGGUUAGGGGCUCGUAAGCAAGCAUUUCACUGUCAGGUUCACCUGUUCUAUUCGGAGCAUGUGACUAAUCAAAUUUGAUUUGAUAUUUGAUUUGAAGCAAAUGCAUGCACUACAAGCCCACACACUCACAAUUACUCACAUUCUUUUACAGUUUCUAACCUGUUUAUAUUGUACACAUACACUGAGUGUACAAAACAUUAGAAACACCUGGUUAAAGAAUGAUUUUUAAGCCUUGAGACAAUUGAGACAUGGAUUGUGUGUGUGCCCUUCGGAGAACGAAAAGGGCAAGACAAAAUAUGCGUGUCUUUGAAUGGGGUACAGUAGUAGUUGCCAGGCGCACCGGUUUGAGAGUGUCAAGAACUGCAACUCUGCAUAGCUUUUCACGCUCAAUAGUUUCCAUCUGUAUCAAGAAUGGUCCACCACCCAAAGAACAUCUGGCCGGCUUGAAACAACUGUGGGAAGAAUUGGAGUCAACAUGGGCCAGCAUCCCUGUGGAACCCCUUCGACUCCUUGUAGAGUCCAUUCCCUGACCAAUUGAGGCUUGGGGAAAAUUGGGUUGUAUACUCAAUAUUAGGAAUGUUUUGUACACUCAGUGUAUAGACAAAUGGUUCUCUACAAACAUUUUGUUUUGUCGGGUUUAGGUUUUGGUUGCUGGCAGCUCUGUUUUAGUGUUCAGUUGCAUGCAUGGCUCUUUUGCAGCUCCACAGGGGGAUCUUACAUGUUUCUGGUAGUUGUUUUACGAGUGAUCGGUCAGGUUAUACUGAUAAAUGCUGAAAACCCUUACCUGAAACAGUCCAGUGGCUCUAUUUGAUCAAAUCUAACACAAUGGUAAGGUAGAGAUAUAUGUUCAGGGGUGUGUCAGAAAUACUUCUGCUAUUUUCACAGACGGAAUUGUGAGUGCAAUAGCUGGCGGUGGCUCGAAAGGGCUGGGUUUUGAUUAACAAACAAGUUGUACGUGUGAUGAGGGCUAGGCCACUCAACACAUUCCAUAGCCUAAUACUGCAUGCAUUUGUAUGAAGUUCUGUAGGUUAUUGAUGGGCUUUGCGUUGUCACCAACUACAAUUCAGCUGGAGGCAUGGAAUAUUCUUGUCCUGGUCCAUUGUGGCAUCCUAGUCCAUUGUGGAUUGAUACUACAGUUUAUGAAAUACUAUAGGCUACAGUAAAGAGUAAUAGCAACGGUAGGUGGUAGAUCAGCUUUAAUAUUGCAGAUAGAUUGUAGCGUCCAUCAAUGUAAUUGUCUGCAUCAUGUCUACUUCCAGCUUAUCCAUACUGUACACAUUUUACGGACACAAAUCUAUUUGACAAUAGAUAUAUUUGUUUGUUUUUAGUCCUCUCCUUCCUCUACCCUCAACCUCUCUCAUCUAUUUCUGAUGUCCAUCCAGUUUGAUUUCUAUUUGCCAUAUAUUUUUAACUGUGCUAUUUCACAAAAGUCCUGAACCUAAAUACAUUUUACACACACAGUGUAUUUUACAUGAGUUAUCUUGUUGUUAUUAGUCCCUCCCUCCAGCUCCAUGCAAACCCUCCCGUCUAUCUCUUAACACCAUUCAUAUUGGGUCUCUAUUUGCCAUAUAUUUUUCGACUGUGCUGUGAUGCUUCACUACACUUCUGAACCUUUCUAUUCUCACAGUUUCUACAGAUUGUAAAUGAAAGAGAAACAUUUUUGUUAUAAGUAUUAUUAUAUUAUUGAUCGAUUGACUGUGACUUUUCAAAUCACCCAGUAUUGCUGUCUGCAGUGUUAGUUCUGGGUAAAUGUUGCAAUUCUUCAGCCAUUCCUGGACCUGUGACCAACUACAAGCUACAUAUGGACAGUACCAAAAUAAAUGAUCUAAUGACUAUGUUUCUUUGCAGCAAAAUCUCCAGAGCUGGGAAGGUUGUAUCCCCCAUUUAUAUAACUUUCUAUUGGUUGCAAUAAUUUUGUAUAAUCAUUUUUAUUGAAAAAUUCUAAGUUUUGAAUCCGGUGUUGUUUUGUGUAUCAGUUCAUAAACCAUGUGCCAUGGAAUCAGUACAUCCAAAAUCGUUUCCCAACUAGUUUGCAAUCUAUAUGGCACACCUGUCAUUUUUUUGGUCCUUAAAUUAAACUAGGAUACUUUUUUAUUUAUCACAAUUUUCUUUAAACAAAUUGUGGUCUUUAAUGCAGGGCCGACAGACAAGUUCCUUACAUCCAGUGUUUGCUCAAUAACCUUUUGGAGUGUUGGCAGUCAACAUUGUUGUAAUUGGCUUCAACGAGCCUCGCCUACAUGUCUAUACGCAUUGCACUUCUCCUAAAAUAAAACAUGUCAGGCUCCAGUAAAUUGUAUCGUAUGUGUGAGGCACGUUCUCAAUAAGCAAAAUAUUACCUAGGCCUACCGUUGAUACUGCAUUAUAGGACAGAAUCAUUUAAAUACGUUUGGAGGAGAGGGGUUCUUUGAAGAUGGGGAUGGAUACUUGAACAAGAGAAAAUGAAGUAUGCAGGGAGACAUAUGUGUGUAUGUUUUAGGAUGUGCAAUAUACUUUCAAUUCAAUGCACUCAUUUAAACACCUUUUAUAGAUCGGCUACUUUGCAAGGCAAGGAUAAAAAAGAUAAGAUGCAUUGCUGUUGAACCAGCCUUAGUAGUCUAGACCUAUGGUAAGGGUCGCCUAUGGAGGGCUUGAUAUUAAUAGGAAAACAAGCUGUUUUUUUCUGUUUUUUAAAACCACAGCAAUACUUGAAAAGUGAAAUUAAGUAACAUAUGCAGGUAUGUGAAUAAUGAAAAUGCAUGAGGGCAAAAAAAAUCUAAAAAAUAUUUCAAAGCAUUCUCAGUAGAUCAUUUAAACUGCUUUAUUCAUUAGGCUAUUUGGCUAAUGGUCAGGAUAUUUAAAAAAGUACCCAUGAGAUGCUGCUAAACCAGCCUUGAUUAAGGGGAGGGUAUGGUAUAAAACACAAGGAAAAUUUAGUUUCAUGUAUCGAUUCCAUUCAAUCAUUUCCAGACAUUACUAUGAGCCCGUCCUCCCCAAUUAAGGGGCCACCAGCCGCCUGUGAGAUGUACUUAUUAGCAAGUUCAGAAUGCUUGACAUUCAUACUUGUGUACUCAUAUUUUUGGACACCGAAAGAAAGUAAGAAAGAAACAAUGUAUCACAAAGAGACACACAAACCUUGAGACACCUAGAUCGAUGUACAUUGAAACAAAAUAAUAUACUUCCAUGACCUUCCAACAACCAAAUAGAUACACCUUUGGGUAAACUUUUAUAUUGAAAGAUAUUUACUUAUUCUGUGCUAAAUAAAGGAUUGUAUAUUUAUUGUUGAAA